AUGAAGGAGUGUGAAAAACUGAGGUGGUAUAUGAUGGAUCCGCGUCUGAUUAGCCAGUUGGUGAGGUAACGGCUCACCAAAGCGACGAUCAGUAGCCGGCCUGAGAGGGCGGACGGCCACAUUGGGACUGAGACACGGCCCAGACUCCUGCGGGAGGCAGCAGUGGGGGAUAUUGCACAAUGGGGGAAACCCUGAUGCAGCGACGCCGCGUGAGUGAAGAAGUAAUUCGUUACGUAAAGCUCUAUCAGCAGGGAAGAAAAUGACGGUACCUGACUAAGAAGCCCCGGCUAACUACGUGCCAGCAGCCGCGGUAAUACGUAGGGGGCAAGCGUUAUCCGGAAUUACUGGGUGUAAAGGGAGCGCAGACGGCAGUGCAAGUCUGGAGUGAAAGCCCGUGGCUUAACCACGGGACUGCUCUGGAAACUGUGCAGCUAGAGUGCAGGAGAGGCAGGCGGAAUUCCUAGUGUAGCGGUGAAAUGCGUAGAUAUUAGGAGGAACACCGGUGGCGAAGGCGGCCUGCUGGACUGUAACUGACGUUGAGGCUCGAAAGCGUGGGGAGCAAACAGGAUUAGAUACCCUGGUAGUCCACGCCGUAAACGAUGAUUAAUAGGUGUCGGGGGACGAUAGUGCUCCGGUGCCGGCG
Molecule: ribosomal RNA, 643 nt
Filed under: uncultured bacterium
Lineage: Bacteria
Description: bacterial SSU rRNA
Rfam family: Bacterial small subunit ribosomal RNA
Source: RNAcentral